CUUAAUUACAAACAAAUUAAUCACAAUCCACUUCAUUCGAGGAUAAAAACGAACACAAUUUACAACAAAUGAAAAGAGUUUCAAUUCGCUUAAUUCAAUUUGUCACAAUUUACAAAACACCCAGCCCUCUCCGUUGAUAGAUUUGAGGACUGAAGCGCCUUGGAAAGUCCUAUGGUGGGGUUUUCUAACAAUCACAAGCAGCCAAUGAGGAAUAAACCUGGUAUUCUGCCAGGACAAUGAGGAAUAAAACUGGUAUACAGCCAGGACAAUGAGCAAUAAAGCUGGUAUUCUGCCAGGACAAUGAGGAAUAAAACUGGUAUACAGCCAGGACAAUGAGGAAUAAAACUGGUAUUCAGCCAGGACAAUGAGGAAUAAAGCUGGUAUUCUGCCAGGACAAUGAGGAAUAAAGCCUGUAUACAGCCAGGACAAUGAGGAAUAAAGCUGGUAUUCAGCCAGGACAAUGAGGAAUAAAGCUGGUAUUCUGCCAGGACAAUGAAGAAUAAAGCUGGUAUUCUGCCAGGACAAUGAGGAAUAAAGCCUGUAUUCAGCCAGGACAAUGAGGAAUAAAACUGGUAUACAGCCAGGACAAUGAGGAAUAAAACAGGUAUUCAGCCAGGACAAUGAGGAAUAAAACUGGUAUUCAGCCAGGACAAUAAGGAAUAAAGCCUGUAUACAGCCAGGACAAUGAGGAAUAAAGCUGGUAUUCAGCCAGGACAAUGAGGACUAAAGCCUGUAUUCAGCCAGGACAAUGAGGAAUAAAGCUGGUAUUCUGCCAGGACAAUGAGGAAUAAAACUGGUAUUCAGCCAGGACAAUGAGGAAUAAAACUGGUAUUCAGCCAGGACAAUGAGGAAUAAAGCCUGUAUACAGCCAGGACAAUGAGGAAUAAAGCUGGUAUUCAGCCAGGACAAUGAGGACUAAAGCCUGUAUUCAGCCAGGACAAUAAGGAAUAAAACUGGUAUACAGCCAGGACAAUGAGGAAUAAAACAGGUAUUCAGCCAGGACAAUGAGGAAUAAAGCUGGUAAACAGCCAGGACAAUAAGGAAUAAAGCUGGUAUUCAGCCAGGACAAUGAGGAAUAAAACAGGUAUUCAGCCAGGACAAUGAGGAAUACAACUGGUAUUCAGCCAGGACAAUGAGGAAUAAAACUGGUAUACAGCCAGGACAAUGAGGAAUAAAACUGGUAUUCAGCCAGGACAAUGAGGAAGGCUUUUUAAAACCAUUACCAGCACAGCAGGAGAGAACGAGAGGUAGCUGAGGUAGUUAAGAGCUGGUUAAGGUAUCUAUUACUGCUCUGAAUAAACCCAGCAGACAGCAGGCAAAAUAUUCCAGAUUAAGGAUGCUUCCCAAAUCACAUCCUAUUCCUUAUAUAAUGCUCUAUGGGCCCUGGUCAAAAUAAGGGCACUAUAUAGGGACUAUGGUGUGAUUUGGGAGUAAGCCUGAGAUUGUCCUGAAAGUACUGAGACACUUUCCAAAAGAAAAAAGCCCACCUCUGAAGAUGGCACAGGAGCUCACAGCUGUUUAGAUUACCUCUGUGGGCCAGAAAGAUUAUUUCAUUGGUGAAGUAAACUUCAGAGGCAUGGAGAAUUGAUUUUACCACAGCAUCAUAGUGGCUAGAACACACACACAGACACACACACAGACACACACACACACACACACACACACACACACACACACACACACACACACACACACACACACACACACACACACACACACACACACACACACACACACACACACACACACACACGCACACACACAGACACACAUACACACACCUCCCCCAGCCACUUCUCUGUGUAUAGUGUAUUGUAUAGUCUGUGAUAUGUCAAAGAUGUGUUAGAAGAAUUGCAGCUCACCAAUGGUGAUUAAAUACUGCAGAGGAUUUGGCUCAUUGUUCUUCCUGGAACGUCAACGAUACCAAAGCAGUUUAUGCUGUACAUAUACUGUAGGACCAAUCCAGACAUUACUGCAGUUUGGAGAAAAUAUAUGGCAACACAUAGGCUAGGAGAAAGCUGAACUGUACCAGCUAGUUGAUUUGUAAAGCAUUAUAAGUCUCUAAUGCCAAAUUGCUUGCUGCUAGAAUAGACGCAGUACUCUGUGCUGAGCAGUAGCGGUGCGUGGGUAAAAUGACUGGAGAAGCC
RNAcentral lists this long non-coding RNA (2147 nucleotides) under Salmo salar (Atlantic salmon). Its description in RNAcentral is "lncRNA (ENSSSAG00000113072.1)". Lineage: Eukaryota; Metazoa; Chordata; Actinopteri; Salmoniformes; Salmonidae. The record is from RNAcentral.